CUGGGUGCCAGGGUUGAGUUGAGCUGUUGGGGCUGGGUUGGACUCGAUGGUCUUGAAGGUCUCUUCCAACCUGGUCAUUCUGGGAAUUCUGUAAAAAGAGAAGCUUUGGGGUGACCUCGUUGUGGCCUUCCAAUGCCUAAAGGGAGACUGAAAGGAGGAGGGAGAGAGACAGUUUACAAGAGCAUGGAAUGACACGACAAGGUGGAGUGGCUUUAAACUGACAAAGAGAAGAUUUAGACUGGAUAUUGAGAAGAAAUUCUUCCCUGUGAGGGUUCUGAGGCCUUGGCACAAGGUGCCCAGAGAAGCUGUGUCUGCCCCUGGAUCCCUGGGAGUGUCCAAGGCCAGGUGGGACGGGGCUUGGAACACACUGGGAUAGUGGAAGUUGCCCCUGCUCAUGGCAGGGGUUAGAAGUGGAUGGAACUUUAAGUCCCCCUCAACUCAGGCCAUUCCAUGAUUCCAUGACUCUGUGAUUCUGUGAUUUGAUGAUCACAACUUUUAGAAAUUCUUCAGGGCAAUUCUGUCAGUACAUCAAUAAUAAGUAGACUCUGCACAGGGCUCUGCACAGGGUUCCUCCUGUCCUGAAAUACAAGGUUAAAGAUGGAAAAAUUAUCUGUAGUACCAUGCUCUUGUCUAUCUGUACUUAUUCUGCUACUAACUGUGAUGUCUGCUUUGCCUAAACACAGCAGAAUCAAGGAACCACAGAAUAUCCUGAGCUGGAAGGGACCCACAGGGAUCAGCUAGUGCAACCCCUGGCCCUGCACAGGAAAACCUGAAAAAUCCCACCCUGUGCUUGAGAGAGUUGUCCAAGUGCUUCUUGAUCUCUGUCAGCCUUGGUGCUGUGACCACCUGCCUUGGGAUAUUUUCCAGGGUGAAGAACCUUUUCCUAAUAUCCCACCUAAACCUUCCCUGACAGGGCUUAAUGCCAUGUGGAAUUUAUGGAUGAGUACAGACAGAUUUCUGACCUUCACAAUUAAUUUUCACCCUCUCCUUCCAUUUCUAAGUGAAUCUUUGUUGUCACUUCUUCACUGUUUCAUUGAUAGAUAUUUCAUCUUUCACUUCUCCUAUUCCCCACCAUGGUAUAAGGCAAGGACAUCAUAUUUUUUUUUUCGUGUUUCUUAUUUUUCCCUCUGUUUGGUCCAGAUGGAGAAUUUCAUAGCAAUCCUAAAUGACACAGGAAACAGUUCUGCCUGACUGACUCAGUCUUUGCAUAACAGGAGCUGUACUGGGGAUCUUCAUUUAGUGCAUAAUUGUGGUAAUCCAAAGGCAUUCUCAGCAAUGUGUAUUUUCUUGUGUAUGAAACACACUUGAAGCUGUUGAUUGAUGCACUUAGAAUUGCUUCAUGCACCAUCUGUAUCCAUCUGUGCACACUUGAACACUGUUUAAAAACCUCACUCGAUCACCAGUACAUUAGAGAGAAGUGGUAUUUCUGCUAAUAGAGUGUAUUAAUAAAGAUCAAAUGCUAUCUCACUUCAUUCAACCCUAUCCAACACAUUCAGUAUGAUCAGUUGAAAAUUAGAGAAGUCUCACUAAACGUGUUGAUGCUUCAAGCACCAACUCUCAUCAUUCUCACUAAAAUUACUGCACAGAACGACAGACUUGUUUUGGAAAAAAUCAAGAAGCAGCAGUUAAAAACUUAAUGAUUAAAAAACGGAAAGCAUUUUUAGAAAGACAAAUGUUUACAAGUUUUUCUCCCCUUUUUUAUAUACCUGUUUUAGUCUAACAGGUAUAUAAAUUUGACCAAAAACUUUGAAAGUCAUCUCAAAAAUUCAUACAGAAAUAUUCUUCAAACAGAACGCUUUUAACCCAGGCCUUCUCAUUUACAUAUUAAUUUGCAUAAAUCCCAGAACAUACCAGGCAUGCUUUCUUUCACUAAUUAUCAGUUCCUUGCCAGUGAACAUAGGCAUGUGGGAUUUUGAUAAGAAUAUAAUGACUUUAAAAUCAUUACAAAUACAAAAUGAUUUUAAAUAUAGCCUGCCCUAACAGAGAUCCUCAGAAACUUGCUGGCAUCUCACACAGAAUCAUAAAAUCACAGAGUCAAAAAAUCAUGGAACCAUAAAAUCACAGAGUCAUAUAAUCAUGGAAUCAUGGAUUUAUAGAGUCAUAUAAUCAUAGAGUCAUAUAAUCACAGAGUCAUUGAGUUAUAGAAUCAUAGUCAUACAGUCAUAGAAAAAUGGAAUGAUAGAGUAACAGAGUCAUAGAAUCACAGAGUCACAGAGUUACAGAAUCAUGGAAUCAUAGUGCUGAGACACCGGAACAGUUUCCUGGAGAUAUUUUGGCUGCCCUAUCCCUGGAAGCUUUCCUGGCCAAGAUGGAUGCGGCUUGGAGCAACCUGGUCUAGUAGAAACUGUCCCUGCCCAUGGCAGGGAUGGCCAUGGAUGAUUUUUAAGGUCCUUUCCAACCCAAACUAUUCCCUGAUUUUAUGAUUUUUUCCCUCCAUCACCCCUGCAUGGAUAUCUGGACACCUCUGAGCAUCUCAAAUGGACCAGAGGACUUUCUGAGAACAACAGGACAGAAUCCCUUGAGAGAAAGUCCAGUGCUUACUUCAAAACACAUCUCUCUGAGGAGCUGAGUCACUCUGAAUCCCACAGACAGCAAAAGGCACCUCUGCCCUGGCUGUGAGGGCCCAGACCUGCACAAGGGUACCCAGCCCUGAUGUCUCCCUUUCAUCCAAGGACACAAAGGAGAUGGACCCUGAAAUUGAAUCCAUGGUUCUGCUCAGACACAGAGCAACAUCCCUGACCUCUGUGUGCCUCUGUCUGUGCUUCUGUCUCUGGGUUAAUCAGGACUUUAAUAUCAUCUGUACCACACUAUUUUAAUGUAUUCAAACAAUUCCAUGGGAGUAAAGUCCAGGCAUUUCCUCAGGGGGCAGAGAGUGGGAGCUGGCUCUGGUUUUAAUUCCAGUAAUUGAGUUUAUUACCCAUAGCUGUCUUUUGAGCAUACACAGGGUAGGAAGGCAACGUGACCCUCUGGGAGAGGAAAGCUCCAGAAGUCUGAUGUCUGAGAUGAUUUUGUUCCUAAUCUGCUUCAGAAAAAAAAAAAAAAAAAAGCUCUCACCUCUGA
Molecule: long non-coding RNA, 3060 nt
Organism: Passer domesticus (house sparrow)
Lineage: Eukaryota; Metazoa; Chordata; Aves; Passeriformes; Passeridae
Exons: 2
Source: RefSeq, a predicted model, not a curated record